CAGCAGCCACGGGAAUACGUAGGGUGCGAGCGUUAAUCGGAAUUACUGGGCGUAAAGCGUGCGCAGGCGGUUAUAUAAGACAGAUGUGAAAUCCCCGGGCUCAACCUGGGACCUGCAUUUGUGACUGUAUAGCUAGAGUACGGUAGAGGGGGAUGGAAUUCCGCGUGUAGCAGCGAAAUGCGUAGAUAUGCGGAGGAACACCGAUGGCGAAGGCAAUCCCCUGGACCUGUACUGACACUCAUGCACGAAAGCGUGGGGAGCAAACAGGAUUAGAUACCCCAGUAGUCCCUGUCUCUUAUAC
Molecule: ribosomal RNA, 301 nt
Filed under: uncultured bacterium
Lineage: Bacteria
Description: partial 16S ribosomal RNA
Rfam family: Bacterial small subunit ribosomal RNA
Source: RNAcentral